CCGAUGCUCCCCCAGCUUGGGCUUGGCGAGGACAGUUGGGGGCCGGCCGGAUCUCCCCUCCGGCUCUCCCUGCACCCCAAAAGAACGGCCCACCAAGCUGGGUGAAGCCCUUUGGGACCCGCAGUUACUUUUAUUGAUUUUCUUGAGACCUGACAGCCAAAAAAAAGGGGCGCGGUGCGCAGUGGAAAGAGGCCAGGCCCUGCAGAAAACGCCAGGCAAACAGACCUCCCGAACAAAGGAGCGCACCCAACUUAGACACCCCCAGACUGCUUUGGAAUUCUUCCUGCCCUUGCAACGUCUGUUUCUUUGAAGGUGCACCUUUGGACCAAAGCCGUUGGUUUCUUCCAAAUCCAUCCGGUGAACCUGCCCCCACCUCCCGUAAACAAAGAAAAAGCCAGGGACUGACCCCAAGUUUCUAGGAGCAGCAGUGAGGUUGACAUAUUUCAGACAAAUCGCAGCAGCCAACUUCCUGUCCGGCCCCUUUUCCACGGAGAAACCCUCCCUCCACCCUUCCCGGGUCCAGGUGAAGAGAUUAAAACUCUACACGAGCCCCUACAUGGAAUGCUCAGCUGGGCGACAUUUUUUAAUAUUGCAUUACACUAUGAAUUUCUCUCUGUCCCCACGGAAACAUACCUCUAGUUCGGUGGAACGUGCCCAGCCCUUCUAUCUUGAACAGAAGAUCACAGUAUUUAAUGCUAAUUUCCUUGGGAUGGUGCUUACAAUACACCAGGUGAGGUUUUCAUAAUAUACUGUUACAAUACAGAUGUUAAACAGAGAAGGGGAAGUGUGCAAAUCCCAAACUGCAAGAGACAGCAGGGUUAUCAUCUUUAUAAAAGUUUCAGCACAAAAUACUAUCCGAACACUGAGGAGGAGCCGCUCAGCAGUUUCCCGCUGCCAGGAAGAGAAAUUCACAUGUUGAGGCGGUCCC
Molecule: long non-coding RNA, 928 nt
Filed under: Sus scrofa (pig)
Lineage: Eukaryota; Metazoa; Chordata; Mammalia; Artiodactyla; Suidae
Description: lncRNA (ENSSSCG00025040514.1, ENSSSCG00035005847.1, ENSSSCG00055008622.1, ENSSSCG00065030417.1)
Source: RNAcentral